GGUUCAUUGGUGUAAUGGUCAGCACGUCGGAUUCUGAUUCGUUAGAGUCUUCCGGAGAUAUUGGUUCGAUUCCUAUAUGAACCU
RNAcentral lists this transfer RNA (84 nucleotides) under Phialocephala subalpina. It matches the Rfam family "tRNA". From Rfam's summary of the family: Transfer RNA (tRNA) molecules are approximately 80 nucleotides in length. Their secondary structure includes four short double-helical elements and three loops (D, anti-codon, and T loops). The record is from Rfam by way of RNAcentral. Lineage: Eukaryota; Fungi; Ascomycota; Leotiomycetes; Helotiales; Mollisiaceae.